RNAcentral lists this ribosomal RNA (253 nucleotides) under uncultured bacterium. Its description in RNAcentral is "partial 16S ribosomal RNA". It matches the Rfam family "Bacterial small subunit ribosomal RNA", at positions 524 to 776 of the family's 1533-position model. The record is from RNAcentral.
UACGAAGGGUGCAAGCGUUACUCGGAAUUACUGGGCGUAAAGCGUGCGUAGGUGGUGAGUUAAGUCUGUCGUGAAAGCCCCGGGCUCAACCUGGGAAUGGCGAUGGAUACUGGCUCGCUAGAGUGCGGUAGAGGAGAGUGGAAUUCCCGGUGUAGCAGUGAAAUGCGUAGAGAUCGGGAGGAACAUCAGUUGCGAAGGCGGGUCUCUGGGCCGAUACUGACGCUGAGGAGCGAAAGCGUGGGGAGCGAACAGG